AUUGAACGCUGGCGGCAGGCCUAACACAUGCAAGUCGAACGAGUGGCGGACGGGUGAGUAAUGUCUGGGAAACUGCCUGAUGGAGGGGGAUAACUACUGGAAACGGUAGCUAAUACCGCAUACCAUCGGAUGUGCCCAGAUGGGAUUAGCUGGUAGGUGGGGUAACUGCUCACCUAGGCGACGAUCCCUAGCUGGUCUGAGAGGAUGACCGGCCAAGCUGGGACUGAGACACGGUCCAGACUCCUACGGGAGGCAGCAGGGGGGAAUAUUGCACAAUGGGCGCAAGCCUGAUGCAGCCAUGCCGCGUGUAUGAAGAAGGCCUUCGGGUUGGAAAGUACUUUCAGCGGGGAGGCGUUACCCGCAGAAGAAGCACCGGCUAACUCCGUGCCAGCAGCCGCGGUAAUUC
Molecule: ribosomal RNA, 406 nt
Filed under: uncultured bacterium
Lineage: Bacteria
Description: partial 16S ribosomal RNA
Rfam family: Bacterial small subunit ribosomal RNA
Source: RNAcentral